Molecule: ribosomal RNA, 437 nt
Rfam family: Bacterial small subunit ribosomal RNA
ACGGGAGGCAGCAGUGGGGAAUAUUGGGCAAUGGGCGAAAGCCUGACCCAGCAACGCCGCGUGAAGGAAGAAGGUCUUCGGAUUGUAAACUUCUUUUAUGAGGGACGAAGGACGUGACGGUACCUCAUGAAUAAGCCACGGCUAACUACGUGCCAGCAGCCGCGGUAAUACGUAGGUGGCAAGCGUUAUCCGGAUUUACUGGGUGUAAAGGGCGCGUAGGCGGGGAUGCAAGUCAGAUGUGAAAUCCAUGGGCUUAACUCAUGAACUGCAUUUGAAACUGUAUCUCUUGAGUGCUGGAGAGGUAGAUGGAAUUCCUUGUGUAGCGGUGAAAUGCGUAGAUAUAAGGAAGAACACCAGUGGCGAAGGCGGCUUGCUGGACGAUAACUGACGUUGAGGCUCGAAAGCGUGGGGAGCAAACAGGAUUAGAUACCCUGGUA